Molecule: ribosomal RNA, 382 nt
Filed under: uncultured eukaryote
Lineage: Eukaryota
Description: partial 18S ribosomal RNA
Rfam family: Eukaryotic small subunit ribosomal RNA
Source: RNAcentral
CAAUAGCGUAUAUUAAAGUUGUUGCAGUUAAAAAGCUCGUAGUUGGAUUUCUGGUUGAAGCGACCGGUCGGGCGUUGAUUCGUCUGCACUGGAGUCGGUUUUGGCCAUCCUCUAGGAAAGUGCGUCUGGUAUUAAGUUAUCGGGCGUAUGAUCCUGGUCUUUUACUGUGAAAAAAUUAGAGUGUUUAAAGCAGGCCUUCGCCUUGAAUACAUUAGCAUGGAAUAAUAAGAUAGGACUUUGGUCUAUUUUGUUGAUUUGCAGACCGAAGUAAUGAUUAAUAGGGAUAGUUGGGGGUAUUUAUAUUCCGAUGUCAGAGGUGAAAUUCUUAGAUUUUCGGAAGAUAAACUUAUGCGAAAGCAUUUACCAAGGAUGUUUNCAUUAA